This 254-nucleotide ribosomal RNA is filed under the name uncultured bacterium. RNAcentral describes it as "partial 16S ribosomal RNA". It matches the Rfam family "Bacterial small subunit ribosomal RNA", at positions 524 to 776 of the family's 1533-position model. The record is from RNAcentral.
UACGGGGGGGGCAAGCGUUGUUCGGAAUUACUGGGCGUAAAGGGCUCGUAGGUGGCCAACUAAGUCAGACGUGAAAUCCCUCGGCUUAACCGGGGAACUGCGUCUGAUACUGGAUGGCUUGAGUGUGGGAGAGGGAUGCGGAAUUCCAGGUGUAGCGGUGAAAUGCGUAGAUAUCUGGAGGAACACCGGUGGCGAAGGCGGCAUCCUGGACCAUUACUGACGCUGAGUGAGCGAAAGCCAGGGGAGCAAACGGG